This 253-nucleotide ribosomal RNA is filed under the name uncultured bacterium. Its description in RNAcentral is "partial 16S ribosomal RNA". It matches the Rfam family "Bacterial small subunit ribosomal RNA", at positions 524 to 776 of the family's 1533-position model. The record is from RNAcentral.
UACGUAGGUGGCAAGCGUUAUCCGGAUUUACUGGGUGUAAAGGGCGUGUAGGCGGGAGUGCAAGUCAGAUGUGAAAACCACGGGCUCAACCCGUGGCCUGCAUUUGAAACUGUACUUCUUGAGUACUGGAGAGGCAGACGGAAUUCCUAGUGUAGCGGUGAAAUGCGUAGAUAUUAGGAGGAACACCAGUGGCGAAGGCGGUCUGCUGGACAGCAACUGACGCUGAGGCGCGAAAGCGUGGGGAGCAAACAGG